UUGAUCACAUUUAAGAUGAUUAACUUCAACAUCGGCCAAGGUUCGAAAAAAUCCGGAAUAGUCACAUAAGUACAAGCUGUUGAUACAUGCUUCCAAACUAGACAUUGAUUCAUUUUGAGGUAGCACGGCAAGCACUUCAGGUGAAUCAACGAUUUUGGUCUUGACAUCAACACGAUCUAAAGAAAUUGCACCAGAAAUCACGGCAUAUCGAACGACGUCGUAAUAUGGAAGUAGUUCGGUGGAAGAGAAAGUUGACAUACAAUCCAAGAGAAGGUCGGCGGCACCAGAAAAAUUACGGAUUGACAUCAAAUAUAUGCCUUGGUAGGCCUUUAAUCGAUUUUUCCUCUCCCAAUCACCUCCCUUUUCAAUAAGUGGCUUUAAUUUUUCCAAUAAUUGACCAACGACCCUCAUAUCAGCAUACACGUAUGCCAAACGGAUUUUGGAAAAAAGAACAUCAAUCUUCAUUCCGGUCAAUGUUGCUCGUUCAAAAGUUUCAUCGCAUAACUGUACACCACGUUCUCUAUCGCAUAUAUUCGUAUAAUAAUCAGCUUUGUUUUUCAUGGCUUCUAAAAUUUCAUGUUCUCCAUUAAGUUCUUGGGCAUCUUCGAUCGCUUUGUCAAACUCUGCUAACUUUUCUUCAUUUUUCUUUAUCAUACUAUUUAAAAAAUUACUAUCAAAAUCAAUACUUGCCGAUGUUUUAGGGUUCUCUGAAAGAUAUUUAUAAAGUGGAGCUAAAUCAUGAUCACGAAUGGCAGAAAAAAGCGUAUCCAAAGCCUUUUGGCUCUUAUUCUCAAGGAAUGGCGAGGAAAGCUCGAAAAUCGCUUGCGAAAUGGUCAAAUCUGAUACGGUUCUUGCCUUUUCUGUCAUGGUGCGGUGUGUGAGUGUUGCAGAGGGAGAACACAUAUCAAC
Non-coding RNA from Schizosaccharomyces pombe (fission yeast), 909 nucleotides. Lineage: Eukaryota; Fungi; Ascomycota; Schizosaccharomycetes; Schizosaccharomycetales; Schizosaccharomycetaceae. The record is from the annotation of a GenBank genome assembly.